Molecule: long non-coding RNA, 609 nt
Filed under: Ananas comosus (pineapple)
Lineage: Eukaryota; Viridiplantae; Streptophyta; Magnoliopsida; Poales; Bromeliaceae
Description: long non-coding RNA (ACOM_LNC034655)
Source: RNAcentral
GGCGAUACAAACAAACUACGGCUCCUAGAGCUAAAUUUGGUAGUUUUAACAAAUGAUGGUGUAGAAUCGCUAAUUUUCUCAUAAGUCAAUUUCAAGUCCAAUAUGUAUAACUUAACAAAUAUUCUAAGCUCCAAUUCAGAUUUAGGAACACAAUAAAUCAACAAAUCGAGUAAUGAAACAUGAUAUACAAAAAUCCACUAAUACAUGCUAGCAAAAGAACUUAGGAGGAAAUCCGCGAAAAUCCGAUAAACAUCACUUUAAACCACCUCACGCUCGAGCUCGACCACAGCAAGAAAUUCGAUAAAGAACCCUGUCGAAACCAGCCUCCAACCAGCAACAAAUCUCUCUACGGAUCAAAACACAAAAAUCCCAAUAUUUCCAUCAAUACUCAACAUUUCAGCUUUUAAGCUUAAUUCAUCAAAACCUUAAUGUCAAACUCACCUUCUAAUCUUCAAUUCAGGUGAGAAAAGGUCCCAAAACUAGUGAACUAAGAUGGAGUAUCACCCUCCGAUCCACAAUCUAACUUCCUCCAAAGAUCUAACACAAAAGCACCUAAAAUCCAUCAAUAUACCAAAAAUUCAGCACUUAAACUUGAUUUCCUUCAAUUUC